This 531-nucleotide ribosomal RNA is filed under the name uncultured bacterium. RNAcentral describes it as "bacterial SSU rRNA". It matches the Rfam family "Bacterial small subunit ribosomal RNA", at positions 355 to 896 of the family's 1533-position model. The record is from RNAcentral.
UAGGGAAUAUUGCACAAUGGGCGCAAGCCUGAUGCAGCAACGCCGCGUGAGGGACGACGGCCUUCGGGUUGUAAACCUCUUUUAGUAGGGAAGAAGCGAAAGUGACGGUACCUGCAGAAAAAGCACCGGCUAACUACGUGCCAGCAGCCACGGUAAUACGUAGGGUGCAAGCGUUGUCCGGAAUUAUUGGGCGUAAAGAGCUCGUAGGCGGUUCGUCGCGUCUGCUGUGAAACCCCGAGGCUCAACCUCGGGCCUGCAGUGGGUACGGGCAGACUAGAGUGCGGUAGGGGAGAUUGGAAUUCCUGGUGUAGCGGUGGAAUGCGCAGAUAUCAGGAGGAACACCGAUGGCGAAGGCAGAUCUCUGGGCCGUAACUGACGCUGAGGAGCGAAAGCAUGGGGAGCAAACAGGAUUAGAUACCCUGGUAGUCCAUGCCGUAAACGUUGGGAACUAGAUGUAGGGUCCAUUCCACGGAUUCUGUGUCGCAGCUAACGCAUUAAGUUCCCCGCCUGGGGAGUACGGCCGCAAGGCUA